This 379-nucleotide ribosomal RNA is filed under the name uncultured bacterium. RNAcentral's name for it is "bacterial SSU rRNA". It matches the Rfam family "Bacterial small subunit ribosomal RNA", at positions 43 to 423 of the family's 1533-position model. The record is from RNAcentral.
UCAGGCCUAACACAUGCAAGUCGAACGGCAGCACGGACUUCGGUCUGGUGGCGAGUGGCGAACGGGUGAGUAAUAUAUCGGAACGUGCCCAGUCGUGGGGGAUAACGUAGCGAAAGCUACGCUAAUACCGCAUACGAUCUACGGAUGAAAGCGGGGGAUCGCAAGACCUCGCGCGAUUGGAGCGGCCGAUAUCAGAUUAGGUAGUUGGUGAGGUAAAGGCUCACCAAGCCGACGAUCUGUAGCUGGUCUGAGAGGACGACCAGCCACACUGGGACUGAGACACGGCCCAGACUCCUACGGGAGGCAGCAGUGGGGAAUUUUGGACAAUGGACGCAAGUCUGAUCCAUCAAGGCCGCGUGCAGGACGAAGGCCUUCGGGU